AAACCGUGUUGCUGACACUUCCGCAAUAGGUCCUUGAAUCGCUCCCAUGUCUCAAACAAUGAUUCGAGCUCCAUCUUUAUUAAUAAGGAUAUCUCAUUACUAAGUCU
Molecule: small nucleolar RNA, 107 nt
Organism: Dioscorea cayenensis subsp. rotundata (Guinea yam)
Lineage: Eukaryota; Viridiplantae; Streptophyta; Magnoliopsida; Dioscoreales; Dioscoreaceae
Source: RefSeq, a predicted model, not a curated record